UGAUCCCAGACUCAGAUUCGAACGCUGAGCGCGCAUGCACUUACACAGUGCAAGUCGCAGCGGCAGCGGAGGGUUGCUAUCUUUGGUGGCGAGUGGCGAACGGGUGAGGAAUACAUCGGAAUGUACCCGGUCGUGGGGGAUAACGUAGGGAAACUUACGCUAAUACCGCAUACGACCUACGGAUGAAAGCAGGGGAUCUCAGGACCUUGCGCGAUUGAAUCAGCCGAUGUCGGAUUAGGUAGUUGGUGGGGUAAAGGCUCACCAAGCCGACGAUCCGUAGCUGGUCUGAGAGGAUGACCAGCCACACUGGAACUGAGACACGGCCCAGACUCCUACGGGAGGCAGCAGUGGGGAAUAUUGGACAAUGGGCGCAAGCCUGAUCCAGCACAUACCGCGUGCAGUGAAGAAGGCCUUCGGGUUGUAAACCCCUUUUGUAGGGAAAGAAAUACCAUGCUCUGCUAAUACACGGGAGCUCAUGACGGUACCGUAA
Molecule: ribosomal RNA, 490 nt
Filed under: Stenotrophomonas sp. B9
Lineage: Bacteria; Pseudomonadati; Pseudomonadota; Gammaproteobacteria; Lysobacterales; Lysobacteraceae
Description: bacterial SSU rRNA
Rfam family: Bacterial small subunit ribosomal RNA
Source: RNAcentral